Long non-coding RNA from Lathyrus oleraceus (garden pea), 856 nucleotides. RefSeq lists it as uncharacterized. The record is from RefSeq and is a predicted model, not a curated record. The transcript is spliced from 2 exons. Lineage: Eukaryota; Viridiplantae; Streptophyta; Magnoliopsida; Fabales; Fabaceae.
AAUUAGUAGAACCCGUGCAUGGCCCAAACAAGACCCAUUACAACUUUAGCAAAGUAUGAACAAGGGAGGUAUGAAGAUAUGCAUGUGUGAAUAGUUGGAUCUAUGGGUCUGGCUACACGGAGCCCACGACAAGGCAAUGCAAAAUGAAAUGAUUCACCAUCCAAAAACACAUGCCAAUCAAGAACACGUUAAUCACUUUAAACAAUUCAAACUUAAAAUUAAAGUUAACUUCUCCCUCCAACUAACCUCACCCUCCCCUCCACCGCGCCAGAGGUCACCUCCUGCAGCGCCGGAGACCUAACGUCCAAAAAAAUCACAUCACCUUCCUUACCUCAUUGACCUGAAUCCAAAAACCACCAUGGAACAAGCUAAUUCUUCAUCAGCAGUCUGAAUCGAAGCAAUUCCUUGAAGAACCCUAACACUCUAAACUAAAAGUUAAAUCACGCACGUUAGAAAUUAAAGCCAUAGAGGUUAGGGCUUCGAUUCCCCUAACCGAAACCUACAUCCUGGUAACCAGCCCAAAGAAAACAGCUAAGAAAGGGAUGAUACUCAUCGGAGAAGACGCGGAGGUCACCGGAAUCAGGAAAUGGAUGGACCAAUGCAAGGAUUCCUUGUUCUUGAAGAAACAAUUGGAGAUUAGGUUUUAGGAAUGGGAAAAAAUAUGAGUUGAAUUUGGUCAACUGGUUGACCAAAAAGUCAAUAGUUGACCAAAAAUAAACUUAUGCAAACAUGUAGUUUUAUUUGUAAUAUUUUCAAUGCAAUGUGUUGUGGACAAUGUAAUCAAUGAAUCUUAUAAAUGCAAUGUACUUCUUAGUUUAAAAUGUUCUAAUGAAACAAUGACCAUUUUCAAAUUCAA